RNAcentral lists this ribosomal RNA (497 nucleotides) under uncultured bacterium. RNAcentral's name for it is "partial 16S ribosomal RNA". It matches the Rfam family "Bacterial small subunit ribosomal RNA", at positions 28 to 507 of the family's 1533-position model. The record is from RNAcentral.
GAUGAACGCUGGCGGCGUGCCUAAUACAUGCAAGUCGAGCGAACAGACGAGGAGCUUGCUCCUCUGACGUUAGCGGCGGACGGGUGAGUAACACGUGGAUAACCUACCUAUAAGACUGGGAUAACUUCGGGAAACCGGAGCUAAUACCGGAUAACAUGUUGAACCGCAUGGUUCAACAGUGAAAUACGGUCUUGCUGUCACUUAUAGAUGGAUCCGCGCCGCAUUAGCUAGUUGGUAAGGUAACGGCUUACCAAGGCAACGAUGCGUAGCCGACCUGAGAGGGUGAUCGGCCACACUGGAACUGAGACACGGUCCAGACUCCUACGGGAGGCAGCAGUAGGGAAUCUUCCGCAAUGGGCGAAAGCCUGACGGAGCAACGCCGCGUGAGUGAAGAAGGUCUUCGGAUCGUAAAACUCUGUUAUUAGGGAAGAAUAAAUGUGUAAGUAACUAUGCACGUCUUGACGGUACCUAAUCAGAAAGCCACGGCUAACUACGUG